This 730-nucleotide long non-coding RNA is filed under the name Vulpes vulpes (red fox). RNAcentral's name for it is "lncRNA (ENSVVUG00000009622.1)". The record is from RNAcentral. Lineage: Eukaryota; Metazoa; Chordata; Mammalia; Carnivora; Canidae.
UUGAGAUGCAUGGGACCAUUUCCUGCAUUAUUCUUUCUCACUCUGUUUUCCAGAGCAUUUGCAGAUUCAGUCUCUCCAAGGGAGCUGAACAUGCAGGAAGCACUGACCAAUGGUGCUGCUUUCAGAGCAUCAAGAUGUACCUCCACCCUAAAGCUUUGAGCCCUGCAAGUAGCUGAGCUUGUGGACGGAAGCCCUUCACCUGUGUAACUGUAAGAAGAAAGACUCUCCGAGUUGGAAGAGGCACGAAGAACCACGUAGCCCCACAGAUGAGGAGAUUCCUGUUGAGAAACCGUCACCCAGUCUCUGCUUAGGAACCACAUUAAUGAGUGUCCUGGAAGGGAAGAAAGGGCUCUCUGACCCGGACCAGCCUCGGGAGAGGCCCAGGGGGCCAGACGGGUCAAGUCAGAAUUCCCCGUGGCACGUGGGGAAGAGGAAAUGACAAGGAUCCUCCAAGCAUUACUUUUGUUGGGACACACUUCGGAAUUCGUGUCGUCGAUGGCAAAGCAGUUGACCUGAGGGUCUCCCUCCUUUGCUGUGGGUGCCCCGAACCCUCUGGAACAUUCCCCUCCGGAACUGCCUCCCAAAGCCCUGGCGGGGGACUCUUCUGUGUUCCUUUGUGGUGGCCUCCAUGGAAUGCAGCCUCCAUCUGGCAGUCACCCCCCCACCCCCGCCCCGCCGGCCGCGGGGUUCGCCUCUGGGAUGGUCCAGGCCUCCAGGGCCCUGAGCGGAG